RNAcentral lists this ribosomal RNA (305 nucleotides) under uncultured bacterium. RNAcentral's name for it is "bacterial SSU rRNA". It matches the Rfam family "Bacterial small subunit ribosomal RNA", at positions 333 to 637 of the family's 1533-position model. The record is from RNAcentral.
UGAGACCUCGGGACGCAGCAGUGAGGAAUAUUGGUCAAUGGACGCAAGUCUGAACCAGCCAUGCCGCGUGCAGGAUGACGGCUCUAUGAGUUGUAAACUGCUUUUGUACGAGGGUAAACCCCGAUACGUGUAUCGGGUUGAAAGUAUCGUACGAAUAAGGAUCGGCUAACUCCGUGCCAGCAGCCGCGGUAAUACGGAGGAUGCGAGCGUUAUCCGGAUUUAUUGGGUUUAAAGGGUGCGUAGGCGGAACAUUAAGUCAGCGGUAAAAUCGAGGGGCUCAACCCCUUUAAGCCGUUGAAACUGGU